Molecule: ribosomal RNA, 301 nt
Filed under: uncultured bacterium
Lineage: Bacteria
Description: partial 16S ribosomal RNA
Rfam family: Bacterial small subunit ribosomal RNA
Source: RNAcentral
CAGCCGCCGCGGUAAUACGAAGGGGGCUAGCGUUGUUCGGAAUUACUGGGCGUAAAGCGUGCGUAGGUGGUGGUUUAAGUCCGUUGUGAAAGCCCUGGGCUCAACCUGGGAAUUGCAGUGGAUACUGGGUCACUAGAGUGUGGUAGAGGAUAGUGGAAUUUCCGGUGUAGCAGUGAAAUGCGUAGAGAUCGGAAGGAACAUCUGUGGCGAAGGCGACUAUCUGGGCCAACACUGACACUGAGGCACGAAAGCGUGGGGAGCAAACAGGAUUAGAUACCCCUGUAGUCCCUGUCUCUUAUAC